UAGGGAAUCUUCGGCAAUGGGGGGAACCCUGACCGAGCAACGCCGCGUGAGUGAAGAAGGUUUUCGGAUCGUAAAGCUCUGUUGUUAAGGAAGAACGAGUGUGAGAAUGGAAAGUUCAUACUGUGACGGUACUUAACCAGAAAGGGACGGCUAACUACGUGCCAGCAGCCGCGGUAAUACGUAGGUCCCGAGCGUUGUCCGGAUUUAUUGGGCGUAAAGCGAGCGCAGGCGGUUAGAUAAGUCUGAAGUUAAAGGCAGUGGCUCAACCAUUGUAGGCUUUGGAAACUGUUUAACUUGAGUGCAGAAGGGGAGAGUGGAAUUCCAUGUGUAGCGGUGAAAUGCGUAGAUAUAUGGAGGAACACCGGUGGCGAAAGCGGCUCUCUGGUCUGUAACUGACGCGGAGGCUCAAAAGCGUGGGGAGCGAACAGG
RNAcentral lists this ribosomal RNA (429 nucleotides) under Bacteroidota bacterium. RNAcentral's name for it is "Bacteroidetes bacterium partial 16S ribosomal RNA". It matches the Rfam family "Bacterial small subunit ribosomal RNA", at positions 355 to 776 of the family's 1533-position model. Lineage: Bacteria; Pseudomonadati; Bacteroidota. The record is from RNAcentral.